RNAcentral lists this ribosomal RNA (305 nucleotides) under uncultured bacterium. RNAcentral's name for it is "bacterial SSU rRNA". It matches the Rfam family "Bacterial small subunit ribosomal RNA", at positions 335 to 637 of the family's 1533-position model. The record is from RNAcentral.
UGCCUACGGGGGGCAGCAGUGAGGAAUAUUGGUCAAUGGGCGGAAGCCUGAACCAGCCAAGUCGCGUGAGGGAUUAAGGCCCUAUGGGUCGUAAACCUCUUUUGUCAGGGAGCAAGGUCGUCCACGUGUGGGCGUAUGGAGAGUACCUGAAGAAAAAGCAUCGGCUAACUCCGUGCCAGCAGCCGCGGUAAUACGGAGGAUGCGAGCGUUAUCCGGAUUUACUGGGUGUAAAGGGAGCGCAGGCGGGAAGCCAAGUCAGCUGUGAAAACUACGGGCUUAACUUGUAGACUGCAGUUGAAACUGGU